UUGGAGGGCAAGUCUGGUGCCAGCAGCCGCGGUAAUUCCAGCUCCAAUAGCGUAUAUUAAAGUUGUUGCAGUUAAAAAGCUCGUAGUUGAAUUUUGGGCCUGGUCGGGCGGUCCGCCUUCUGGGUGAGUACUGUCAUCGUGCCGGGUCUCUUCUUCUGGUGAGCUAGUGUGCUCUUUAUUGGGUGCAUUAGGGAACCAGGACUAUUACCUUGAAAAAAUUAGAGUGUUUAAAGCGGGCAUUUGCUUGAAUACAUUAGCAUGGAAUAAUGAAAUAGGACGGACGGUUCUAUUUUGUUGGUUAUGGGACCACCGUAAUGAUUAAUAGGGAUAGUUGGG
RNAcentral lists this unclassified non-coding RNA (336 nucleotides) under uncultured Archaeosporaceae. Its description in RNAcentral is "SSU rRNA". It matches the Rfam family "Eukaryotic small subunit ribosomal RNA", at positions 548 to 886 of the family's 1831-position model. Lineage: Eukaryota; Fungi; Glomeromycota; Glomeromycetes; Archaeosporales; Archaeosporaceae. The record is from RNAcentral.